RNAcentral lists this ribosomal RNA (498 nucleotides) under uncultured bacterium. Its description in RNAcentral is "partial 16S ribosomal RNA". It matches the Rfam family "Bacterial small subunit ribosomal RNA", at positions 30 to 523 of the family's 1533-position model. The record is from RNAcentral.
AUUGAACGCUGGCGGCAUGCCUUACACAUGCAAGUCGAACGGUAACAGGUCUUCGGAUGCUGACGAGUGGCGAACGGGUGAGUAAUACAUCGGAACGUGCCUAGUAGUGGGGGAUAACUACUCGAAAGAGUGGCUAAUACCGCAUGAGAUCUACGGAUGAAAGCAGGGGAUCGCAAGACCUUGUGCUACUAGAGCGGCCGAUGGCAGAUUAGGUAGUUGGUGGGAUAAAAGCUUACCAAGCCGACGAUCUGUAGCUGGUCUGGGAGGACGAUCAGCCACAAUGGGACUGGGACACGGCCCAGACUCCUACGGGAGGCAGCAGUGGGGAAUUUUGGACAAUGGGCGCAAGCCUGAUCCAGCAAUGCCGCGUGCAGGAUGAAGGCCUUCGGGUUGUAAACUGCUUUUGUACGGAACGAAAAGCCCCGGGUUAAUACCCUGGGGUCAUGACGGUACCGUAAGAAUAAGCACCGGCUAACUACGUGCCAGCAGCCGCGGUAA